GUGCUCACUUGGGCAGCACAAAUACUAAAGUUGGAUACAGAGAAGAUUAGCGUGGCACUUGAGUGAGGAUGACAUGCAAAUUCGUGAAGUGUUUCAUAUUUUU
Diceros bicornis minor is the source of this 103-nucleotide small nuclear RNA. Lineage: Eukaryota; Metazoa; Chordata; Mammalia; Perissodactyla; Rhinocerotidae. The record is from RefSeq and is a predicted model, not a curated record.